AACGAACGCUGGCGGCAGGCCUAACACAUGCAAGUCGAGCGCCCCGCAAGGGGAGCGGCGGACGGGUGAGUAACGCGUGGGAACGUGCCUCUUGCUACGGAAUAGCCUCGGGAAACUGGGAGUAAUACCGUAUGUGCCCUACGGGGGAAAGAUUUAUCGGCAAGAGAUCGGCCCGCGUUGGAUUAGGUAGUUGGUGGGGUAAUGGCCUACCAAGCCGACGAUCCAUAGCUGGUUUGAGAGGAUGAUCAGCCACACUGGGACUGAGACACGGUCCCGACUCCUACGGGGGGCAGCAGUGAGGAAUAUUCGGCAAUGGGGGCAACCCUGACCGAGCAACGCCGCGUGGAGGAUGACGGUUUUCGGAUUGUAAACUCCUUUUCUCAGGGAAGAGCGAGGACGGUACCUGGGGAAUAAGUCACGGCUAACUACGUG
RNAcentral lists this ribosomal RNA (432 nucleotides) under uncultured bacterium. Its description in RNAcentral is "bacterial SSU rRNA". It matches the Rfam family "Bacterial small subunit ribosomal RNA", at positions 29 to 507 of the family's 1533-position model. The record is from RNAcentral.